CACCGCCCGUCACACCAUGGGAGUCAGUUGCUCCAGAAAUGGCCGCGCUAACCCGCAAGGGGGGCAGGCCCUCAAGGAGUGACUGGUGACUGGGGUG
RNAcentral lists this ribosomal RNA (97 nucleotides) under uncultured bacterium. Its description in RNAcentral is "partial 16S ribosomal RNA". It matches the Rfam family "Bacterial small subunit ribosomal RNA", at positions 1388 to 1482 of the family's 1533-position model. The record is from RNAcentral.